RNAcentral lists this non-coding RNA (31 nucleotides) under Rattus norvegicus (Norway rat). The record is from RNAcentral. Lineage: Eukaryota; Metazoa; Chordata; Mammalia; Rodentia; Muridae.
CUGUCAAACAGCUACUACCUUCACUCUGAGU